RNAcentral lists this ribosomal RNA (253 nucleotides) under uncultured bacterium. RNAcentral's name for it is "partial 16S ribosomal RNA". It matches the Rfam family "Bacterial small subunit ribosomal RNA", at positions 524 to 776 of the family's 1533-position model. The record is from RNAcentral.
UACGUAGGGUGCAAGCGUUGUCCGGAAUUAUUGGGCGUAAAGAGCUCGUAGGCGGUUUGUUGCGUCGGCUGUGAAAACCCGGGGCUCAACUCCGGGCCUGCAGCCGAUACGGGCAGACUAGAGUUCGGCAGGGGAGACUGGAAUUCCUGGUGUAGCGGUGGAAUGCGCAGAUAUCAGGAGGAACACCGGUGGCGAAGGCGGGUCUCUGGGCAGUAACUGACGCUGAGGAGCGAAAGCGUGGGGAGCGAACAGG